UACGGAGGGUGCGAGCGUUAUCCGGAAUCACUGGGUUUAAAGGGUGCGUAGGCGGCGGGGUAAGUCAGUUGUGAAAUCUCUUGGCUCAACCAAUGAAAUUGCGAUUGAUACUGCCCUGCUUGAAACAGGUUGAGGUGAGCGGAAUGUGGCAUGUAGCGGUGAAAUGCAUAGAUAUGCCAUAGAACACCGAUUGCGAAGGCAGCUUGCUGGGCCUGAUUUGACGCUGAGGCACGAAAGCGUGGGGAGCAAACAGG
Molecule: ribosomal RNA, 254 nt
Filed under: uncultured bacterium
Lineage: Bacteria
Description: partial 16S ribosomal RNA
Rfam family: Bacterial small subunit ribosomal RNA
Source: RNAcentral